UAUCUAUCGGUCUGUCGGUUGGUCGGUUGGUCGGUCUCGGUCGGUCGGUCGGUCGGUCGGUGGGUCAUCUCUCUUCAU
RNAcentral lists this microRNA precursor (78 nucleotides) under Procavia capensis (Cape rock hyrax). Its description in RNAcentral is "miRNA (ENSPCAG00000019407.1)". The record is from RNAcentral. Lineage: Eukaryota; Metazoa; Chordata; Mammalia; Hyracoidea; Procaviidae.